AGUUCCAAGUGCCCCAAUCUUUUACAAAAAUAAAUUGAAAAUCAAAUCGAACGUGAACCGCAACAUGAACAUUAGGCGGCCAGCGACUAAGCAUUUAAUGUCAACCGCCGGGAUGUUUCCUCAUCUCCGCCAAAAACGCCGAGAACCAAAAAAAAACCAUAGCAAACACCAGGCAAAAUAAAUAAGCAAACGAGAAAAAUAAGGCGAAAUUGCCAGCCAGAUCAGCGAAUCUCUCGGUACCCUUCUCAAUAUUCUUUUCGCAAGGGUUCGGAACGACUGG
Molecule: non-coding RNA, 280 nt
Organism: Drosophila melanogaster (fruit fly)
Lineage: Eukaryota; Metazoa; Arthropoda; Insecta; Diptera; Drosophilidae
Source: Ensembl